RNAcentral lists this ribosomal RNA (233 nucleotides) under uncultured bacterium. Its description in RNAcentral is "partial 16S ribosomal RNA". It matches the Rfam family "Bacterial small subunit ribosomal RNA", at positions 1267 to 1500 of the family's 1533-position model. The record is from RNAcentral.
AAAACUACNUAAAAGUAAGUCUCAGUUCGGAUUGAAGGCUGAAAUUCGCCUACAUGAAGCCGGAAUUGCUAGUAAUGGCAGGCCAGCAUACUGCCGUGAAUACGUUCCCGGGCCUUGUACACACCGCCCGUCACACCAUGAGAGUUGGGAAUACCCGAAGCCUGUGAGCUAACUUUUAGAGGCAGCAGUCGAAGGUAGAAUCAAUGAUUGGGGUGAAGUCGUAACAAGGUAGC